Non-coding RNA from Meleagris gallopavo (turkey), 1106 nucleotides. NCBI's taxonomy places the organism in Eukaryota, Metazoa, Chordata, Aves, Galliformes, Phasianidae. The record is from RefSeq and is a predicted model, not a curated record.
UUGUAUCUAGGAAUAGAAAAUGCCCAAUAGCUAAUCAUGUUCUGCUGCAAAAAAAGAAAGCAUAGUCCCUUUUUAAAAAAGCAAGAGACAGAGUGCUUACCCCCAGAAAAGGGAAAAAUCCCCAAACGUUUAUGCUGAGUUAACACUGAGAAUGAAGAGUGGCAGCUUUGCUUCUUCCCUUCACUAUUCGUUUUGGUUUGAAGUACAGAGGAAAGGAUGCAUGAGCCAUGCUGGAGCAGUGUGCCUGCCUGCAUCGUGUGGCAGUAAGCAAUGCAGAGAAUUUUAUAAGGUCUCUGUGAUGUUUGUCUCCUUCCUAGAUGGCACCGAGUCCUCUGAGAUGCGCUACGGAAAUGAUGAGAACGACUUCUGAGGCUGUGAGCGGUGGCUGAUGAGAGAAGCUAAAGAGAGGAACCUCAAAAUUGAACAGAUUGAUAUGGAAUGAAGGGGCAUUUCAUAGCAAAUGCAUGAAGAGGAGACCUUCAUCCUGUGACUACUUCGCUUCCUGACCUCUGGAGGCAGCUGCAGGCUUGAAGCACUAACAGCAACACGGGAGCCUUAGAUUUUUUUUUAUCUUAAGCUUUUACUUUGAACUUCGUAAGUCAGUGUAUGCUAAGGAGGGCAUUUUAAAGGAAGCUGCAGUUGAACCGUACAAAUUCAUCUUCUUACUGGCUGGAAAACAGCUUAUUUUGUAAGUCAGAGACCCAGAAUUCCUUCAGAUUUUCAAGUGAAGUUCCAGUGGAUAUGAUGCCCCUUAAUUAUUGAUGUACAGCUCCAGGCUUUCAUUACAUGGUCUGAUUUACUUUUUCCAUAAAGUAAGAGCUCUUUCACAUCAGAUAACACUGUGCUGUCACUGUUUCCUUCCCUGCACAUUCCUCUUUGGAUUUUCACUUCUCUUUAUGUUAUGCUGAAGUAGAAUCUUAAAAUAAGUUUUACUGUAUUCAUUAUUCACGUCCUUGUUGCUGCUUUGAGGCUCAGAAUGAAAUGCAUUUCUUCUCAAAAGAAAGUAAGGGUUAAGCAGAGUGUGAAGAAAACUGCUGAUUCUUUUUUUCCUGUCCACGCCCAACUUUGCAGAAAUUGGGUCCCUUCUGCUUAAAAUCAAUCAGUCA